GACGAACCGAGCGAACGUUGUUCGGAAUCACUGGGCUUAAAGGGCGCGUAGGCGGGCGGCUAAGUCUGUGGUGAAAUCCUCCAGCUCAACUGGAGAACUGCCAUGGAUACUGGUCGUCUCGAGGAAGGUAGGGGUAUGCGGAACUAUCGGUGGAGCGGUGAAAUGCGUUGAUAUCGAUAGGAACUCCGGUGGCGAAGGCGGCAUACUGGACCUUUUCUGACGCUGAGGCGCGAAAGCCAGGGGAGCAAACGGGAUUAGAUACCCCGGUAGUCCUGGCCCUAAACGAUGGGUACUAGCUAGUAGGGUUCACAUGGCUGGACUGGCGAAGCAAAAGUGCUAAGUACCCCGCCUGGGGAGUAUGGUCGCAAGGCUGAAACUCAAAGGAAUUGACGGGGGCUCACACAAGCGGUGGAGCAUGUGGCUUAAUUCGAGGCUACGCGAAGAACCUUAUCCUAGACUUGACAUGUGCGAUAGCGUUGAGCGGUACGUCUCCGAAAGGAAGGCCGAUUCCCAGCAAUGGGAGGACUCAACACAGGUGCUGCAUGGCUGUCGUCAGCUCGUGUCGUGAGAUGUCGGGUUAAGUCCCAUAACGAGCGAAACCCUUACCUCCAGUUACUACGGGUCAUGCCGAGGACUCUGGAGGGACUGCCGGUGUCAAACCGGAGGAAGGCGGGGAUGACGUCAAGUCCUCAUGGCCUUUACGUCUAGGGCUGCACACGUGCUACAAUGGUGUGAACAAACGGAAGCCAAGGCGCGAGCCGGAGCAAAUCCCAAAAAGCACACCCCAGUUCAGAUCGAAGGCUGCAACUCGCCUUCGUGAAGUUGGAAUCGCUAGUAAUCGCGGGUCAGCAACACCGCGGUGAAUGUGUUCCUGACCCCUUGUACACACCGCCCGUCAAGCCACGAAAGAGGGGAGUGCCCGAAGUCGCCUAGCGCCGAAGGCAAAACCU
This 950-nucleotide ribosomal RNA is filed under the name uncultured Zavarzinella sp. RNAcentral's name for it is "bacterial SSU rRNA". It matches the Rfam family "Bacterial small subunit ribosomal RNA", at positions 524 to 1470 of the family's 1533-position model. The record is from RNAcentral. Lineage: Bacteria; Pseudomonadati; Planctomycetota; Planctomycetia; Gemmatales; Gemmataceae.